CCGAGUCCUACAGCUGACCGGUACGGUCCGCCCCCACGGCGUGACCGACCUCCCCUACCAAGAGCAGGCUGACGUCCCUACCUCCGCCAUGGAAGUCGUCGUCCAAGCUACAGACGAGGCAGCGCGCGUGAGCAGCAGAGCGACACGUAAGCAUCAGAGGAAUGAGUGUUUUAAUUAUCACCAAAUGUGUGUGCAGUUCGUAAAAUUUUAAUGUGUUUACUGUGCAGCGGCAGAGGAUCCACCGCACGGUGCGUCACCUACCGAAAUGGUGGCCGCUGCACCUGUGUUGCAGCACCCUGUUCGGCCACCACGUCGACAGCGACCGCGACGGGUGGAUACCUUGACGACGAUGUCGUCGCAGUACGCCCGCAGCGUGGAACAGGGCGACGAGAUACUGCAGGUGCUGCGGAGAAUCGAGGCCUCCACCACCCGCCUCGCUGUCGCAGCAGAGCGGGCGGCAGC
RNAcentral lists this long non-coding RNA (462 nucleotides) under Dermacentor andersoni. Its description in RNAcentral is "uncharacterized LOC126524750". The record is from RNAcentral. Lineage: Eukaryota; Metazoa; Arthropoda; Arachnida; Ixodida; Ixodidae.